Molecule: ribosomal RNA, 254 nt
Filed under: uncultured bacterium
Lineage: Bacteria
Description: partial 16S ribosomal RNA
Rfam family: Bacterial small subunit ribosomal RNA
Source: RNAcentral
UACGGAGGGUGCGAGCGUUGUCCGGAAUCACUGGGCGUAAAGGGCGCGUAGGCGGCCUGAUAAGUAGGGGGUGAAAUCCUGCGGCUUAACUGUGGGCUUGCGGUCGAUACGGGCAUCACUGGAGUUCGGCAGGGGAGACUGGAAUUCCGAGUGUAGAGGUGAAAUUCGUAGAUAUUCGGAAGAACACCAGUGGCGAAGGCGGCUCACUGGACUGGUAUUGACGCUGAGGUGCGAAAGCGUGGGGAGCAAACAGG